GACGAACGCUGGCGGCGUGCUUAACACAUGCAAGUCGAGCGGAAAGGCCCUGCGUUUGUGUGGUGCUUGAGUGGCGAACGGGUGAGUAACACGUGAGUAACCUGCCCUUGUCUUUGGGAUAACUUCAGGAAACUGGGGCUCAUAUCGGAUAGGAGCUUCUGAUGCGUGGUGGUGGUUGGAAAGUUUCGGUGGUUGGGGUUGGACUGGCGGCUUAUGGGCUUGUUGGUGGGGUUGGGGAUUACCAAGGCUUUGACGGGUAGGCGACCUGGGCGGUUGGCCGGGCACCAGAGGACUAAGGGACGGACCAGACUCGAACGGGAGGCAGUGGGCGGGAGUAUGACACAGUAAGCGGGCGUGUGAUACGACGGCGUCGCGUGCGGGAAGCCGGCCUUCGGGGUGAGAACCGCUUUCGCCUGUGACGAGGCGUGAGUGACGGUAAUGGGUAAAGAAGCACCGGCUAACUACGUG
This 468-nucleotide ribosomal RNA is filed under the name uncultured bacterium. Its description in RNAcentral is "partial 16S ribosomal RNA". It matches the Rfam family "Bacterial small subunit ribosomal RNA", at positions 28 to 507 of the family's 1533-position model. The record is from RNAcentral.